GCCGCUGUGGCGAAAUGGCAGACGCGAUGGACUCAAAAUCCAUUGAGGGCAACUUCAUGUCGGUUCGACUCCGACCAGCGGCACCA
Molecule: transfer RNA, 86 nt
Filed under: Christensenellaceae bacterium
Lineage: Bacteria; Bacillati; Bacillota; Clostridia; Christensenellales; Christensenellaceae
Description: tRNA-Leu
Rfam family: tRNA
About the family: Transfer RNA (tRNA) molecules are approximately 80 nucleotides in length. Their secondary structure includes four short double-helical elements and three loops (D, anti-codon, and T loops).
Source: RNAcentral